GGAUACGUUCGUUGGGUAGGGGAGCGUUCUGUAAGCCUGUGAAGGUGGCCUGUGAGGGUUGCUGGAGGUAUCAGAAGUGCGAAUGCUGACAUAAGUAACGAUAAAGCGGGUGAAAAGCCCGCUCGCCGGAAGACCAAGGGUUCCUGUCCAACGUUAAUCGGGGCAGGGUGAGUCGACCCCUAAGGCGAGGCCGAAAGGCGUAGUCGAUGGGAAACGGGUUAAUAUUCCCGUACUUGGUGUUACUGCGAAGGGGGGACGGAGAAGGCUAUGUUGGCCGGGCGACGGUUGUCCCGGUUUAAGCGUGUAGGCUGGUUUUCCAGGCAAAUCCGGAAAAUCAAGGCUGAGGCGUGAUGACGAGGCACUACGGUGCUGAAGCAACAAAUGCCCUGCUUCCAGGAAAAGCCUCUAAGCAUCAGGUAACAUCAAAUCGUACCCCAAACCGACACAGGUGGUCAGGUAGAGAAUACCAAGGCGCUUGAGAGAACUCGGGUGAAGGAACUAGGCAAAAUGGUGCCGUAACUUCGGGAGAAGGCACGCUGACACGUAGGUGAAGUGAUUUACUCAUGGAGCUGAAGUCAGUCGAAGAUACCAGCUGGCUGCAACUGUUUAUUAAAAACACAGCACUGUGCAAACACGAAAGUGGACGUAUACGGUGUGACGCCUGCCCGGUGCCGGAAGGUUAAUUGAUGGGGUCAGCGCAAGCGAAGCUCCUGAUCGAAGCCCCGGUAAACGGCGGCCGUAACUAUAACGGUCCUAAGGUAGCGAAAUUCCUUGUCGGGUAAGUUCCGACCUGCACGAAUGGCGUAAUGAUGGCCAGGCUGUCUCCACCCGAGACUCAGUGAAAUUGAACUCGCUGUGAAGAUGCAGUGUACCCGCGGCAAGACGGAAAGACCCCGUGAACCUUUACUAUAGCUUGACACUGAACAUUGAGCCUUGAUGUGUAGGAUAGGUGGGAGGCUUUGAAGUGUGGACGCCAGUCUGCAUGGAGCCGACCUUGAAAUACCACCCUUUAAUGUUUGAUGUUCUAACGUGGACCCGUAAUCCGGGUUGCGGACAGUGUCUGGUGGGUAGUUUGACUGGGGCGGUCUCCUCCUAAAGAGUAACGGAGGAGCACGAAGGUUGGCUAAUCCUGGUCGGACAUCAGGAGGUUAGUGCAAUGGCAUAAGCCAGCUUGACUGCGAGCGUGACGGCGCGAGCAGGUGCGAAAGCAGGUCAUAGUGAUCCGGUGGUUCUGAAUGGAAGGGCCAUCGCUCAACGGAUAAAAGGUACUCCGGGGAUAACAGGCUGAUACCGCCCAAGAGUUCAUAUCGACGGCGGUGUUUGGCACCUCGAUGUCGGCUCAUCACAUCCUGGGGCUGAAGUAGGUCCCAAGGGUAUGGCUGUUCGCCAUUUAAAGUGGUACGCGAGCUGGGUUUAGAACGUCGUGAGACAGUUCGGUCCCUAUCUGCCGUGGGCGCUGGAGAACUGAGGGGGGCUGCUCCUAGUACGAGAGGACCGGAGUGGACGCAUCACUGGUGUUCGGGUUGUCAUGCCAAUGGCACUGCCCGGUAGCUAAAUGCGGAAGAGAUAAGUGCUGAAAGCAUCUAAGCACGAAACUUGCCCCGAGAUGAGUUCUCCCUGAGACUUUAGGUCUCCUGAAGGAACGUUGAAGACGACGACGUUGAUAGGCCGGGUGUGUAAGCGCAGCGAUGCGUUGAGCUAACCGGUACUAAUGAACCGUGAGGCUUAACCUUACAACGCC
RNAcentral lists this ribosomal RNA (1741 nucleotides) under Salmonella enterica subsp. enterica serovar Bovismorbificans. Its description in RNAcentral is "partial 23S ribosomal RNA". It matches the Rfam family "Bacterial large subunit ribosomal RNA", at positions 1210 to 2925 of the family's 2925-position model. The record is from RNAcentral. Lineage: Bacteria; Pseudomonadati; Pseudomonadota; Gammaproteobacteria; Enterobacterales; Enterobacteriaceae.